RNAcentral lists this ribosomal RNA (293 nucleotides) under uncultured bacterium. RNAcentral describes it as "partial 16S ribosomal RNA". It matches the Rfam family "Bacterial small subunit ribosomal RNA", at positions 505 to 796 of the family's 1533-position model. The record is from RNAcentral.
GUGUCAGCAGCCGCGGUAAUACGUAGGGAGCGAGCGUUGUCCGGAUUUAUUGGGCGUAAAGAGCUCGUAGGCGGCUCAGUAAGUCGGGUGUGAAAGCCCCGAGCUCAACUCGGGGAGGCCACCCGAUACUGCUGUGGCUAGAGUCCGGUAGGGGAGCGUGGAAUUCCCGGUGUAGCGGUGAAAUGCGCAGAUAUCGGGAGGAACACCAGCGGCGAAGGCGGCGCUCUGGGCCGGAACUGACGCUGAGGAGCGAAAGCGUGGGGAGCGAACAGGAUUAGAAACCCUGGUAGUCC